ACUGAGAGCAGGGAUCUUGAGAAAAAGUUUACAUAGUUGUCAAAAAAGUUCAAAUUAUACUUUAGUGUUUUAUUUCAUCAUUUAAGAAAAUGAACAGUCCACUAUGUCCUUUACAUGAAGCAGUACGUUAGAAUACGUAAAAAAUAUAUUUAAAAAUCACUGUACGUGCUAAGGAUAUAUAAUUGCCUCUUAAAAAGAUUUUAGGAAAAUCCCUUUCUUUUAUAUCAUGUCUAUUAUGGGAAGUAAAGUCUUGAAGAAGUAAAUGUUGCACAUGCUGUAUGGGAG
Molecule: non-coding RNA, 285 nt
Organism: Pelobates cultripes (western spadefoot toad)
Lineage: Eukaryota; Metazoa; Chordata; Amphibia; Anura; Pelobatidae
Source: the annotation of a GenBank genome assembly